RNAcentral lists this ribosomal RNA (254 nucleotides) under uncultured bacterium. RNAcentral's name for it is "partial 16S ribosomal RNA". It matches the Rfam family "Bacterial small subunit ribosomal RNA", at positions 524 to 776 of the family's 1533-position model. The record is from RNAcentral.
UACGUAGGGGGCGAGCGUUGUCCGGAUUCAUUGGGCGUAAAGAGCUCGUAGGCGGUUCAGUAAGUCGGGUGUGAAAUCUCCGUGCUCAACACGAAGCGGCCACCUGAUACUGCUGUGACUCGAGUCCGGUAGGGGAGUGUGGAAUUCCCGGUGUAGCGGUGAAAUGCGCAGAUAUCGGGAGGAACACCAGUAGCGAAGGCGGCACUCUGGGCCGUGACUGACGCUGAUGCGCGAAAGCGUGGGGAGCAAACGGG